RNAcentral lists this ribosomal RNA (245 nucleotides) under uncultured bacterium. RNAcentral describes it as "partial small subunit ribosomal RNA". It matches the Rfam family "Bacterial small subunit ribosomal RNA", at positions 26 to 285 of the family's 1533-position model. The record is from RNAcentral.
AGAAUCAACGCUGGCGGCGUGCCUAACACAUGCAAGUCGAACGAGAAAGUGGAGCAAUCCAUGAGUAAAGUGGCGACCGGGUGAGUAACACGUGACUAACCUACCUUCGAGUGGGGGAUAACCUCGGGAAACCGAGGCUAAUACCGCAUAACAUCGCAAGAUCAAAGCAGCAAUGCGCUGGAAGAGGGGGUCGCGGCCGAUUAGUUAGUUGGCGGGGUAAUGGCCCACCAAGACUAUGAUCGGUA